AGUGAACGCUGGCGGUAGGCCUAACACAUGCAAGUCGAACGGCAGCACAGUAAGAGCUUGCUCUUACGGGUGGCGAGUGGCGGACGGGUGAGGAAUACAUCGGAAUCUACUUUUUCGUGGGGGAUAACGUAGGGAAACUUACGCUAAUACCGCAUACGACCUACGGGUGAAAGCAGGGGAUCUUCGGACCUUGCGCGAUUGAAUGAGCCGAUGUCGGAUUAGCUAGUUGGCGGGGUAAAGGCCCACCAAGGCGACGAUCCGUAGCUGGUCUGAGAGGAUGAUCAGCCAAACUGGAACUGAGACACGGUCCAGACUCCUACGGGAGGCAGCAGUGGGGAAUAUUGGACAAUGGGCGCAAGCCUGAUCCAGCCAUACCGCGUGGGUGAAGAAGGCCUUCGGGUUGUAAAGCCCUUUUGUUGGGAAAGAAAAGCAGCAGGUUAAUACCCCGCUGUUCUGACGGUACCCAAAGAAUAAGCACCGGCUAACUUCGU
This 491-nucleotide ribosomal RNA is filed under the name uncultured bacterium. RNAcentral describes it as "partial 16S ribosomal RNA". It matches the Rfam family "Bacterial small subunit ribosomal RNA", at positions 29 to 506 of the family's 1533-position model. The record is from RNAcentral.